This is a non-coding RNA of Myotis davidii, 74 nucleotides long. NCBI's taxonomy places the organism in Eukaryota, Metazoa, Chordata, Mammalia, Chiroptera, Vespertilionidae. The record is from Rfam.
GGUGGUUCUUAGGUGAUGAAUCCUGGAAUCAGGCUCCCUCUUCUUGGUUCAAAGUACGUCACCCAAGAACCGCA